RNAcentral lists this ribosomal RNA (179 nucleotides) under uncultured bacterium. RNAcentral describes it as "partial 16S ribosomal RNA". It matches the Rfam family "Bacterial small subunit ribosomal RNA", at positions 335 to 527 of the family's 1533-position model. The record is from RNAcentral.
AUUCCUACGGGAGGCAGCAGUGGGGAAUAUUGGACAAUGGGCCACAAGCCUGAUCCAGCAAUUCUGUGUGCACGAUGAAGGUCUUCGGAUUGUAAAGUGCUUUCAGUUGGGAAGAAGAAAGUGACGGUACCAACAGAAGAAGCGACGGCUAAAUACGUGCCAGCAGCCGCGGUAAUAAU